This is a long non-coding RNA of Polyodon spathula (Mississippi paddlefish), 296 nucleotides long. RefSeq lists it as uncharacterized. The record is from RefSeq and is a predicted model, not a curated record. NCBI's taxonomy places the organism in Eukaryota, Metazoa, Chordata, Actinopteri, Acipenseriformes, Polyodontidae. The transcript is spliced from 2 exons.
UAACAAAACGGUGCACGGACAGACACACUGACAAACACGAGGAGGACGGAGCCAGCAGCUGCAUCGACGAAGCCAGUCCAACCAAUUGAGCACUACCCUUGCCUCACGACAUAAGCAAUCGCCACCACCCUGCUGAAAGCAAGAGCACAUUUUUGUGCACGGGAUUUGUGGAGUGGAUUGUUGUUAUUGUUAUUGAUUUGGCCUGCAAACAACCCGUGUUCCCCCAGAUACCAUUGCUGGUAGAGAGGCUGUUCUUUAUGUUUGUAUUAAAUAAACACAGACAUUUCGGGAGUUUA